This 501-nucleotide ribosomal RNA is filed under the name uncultured bacterium. Its description in RNAcentral is "partial 16S ribosomal RNA". It matches the Rfam family "Bacterial small subunit ribosomal RNA", at positions 29 to 523 of the family's 1533-position model. The record is from RNAcentral.
AUUGAACGCUGGCGGCAUGCCUUACACAUGCAAGUCGAACGGCAGCACGGGUGCUUGCACCUGGUGGCGAGUGGCGAACGGGUGAGUAAUACAUCGGAACGUACCUUAUCGUGGGGGAUAACGCAGCGAAAGUUGCGCUAAUACCGCAUACGCCCUGAGGGGGAAAGCGGGGGACCGUAAGGCCUCGCGCGAUUAGAGCGGCCGAUGUCUGAUUAGCUUGUUGGUGAGGUAAAAGCCCACCAAGGCGACGAUCAGUAGCUGGUCUGAGAGGACGAUCAGCCACACUGGGACUGAGACACGGCCCAGACUCCUACGGGAGGCAGCAGUGGGGAAUUUUGGACAAUGGGGGCAACCCUGAUCCAGCAAUGCCGCGUGAGUGAAGAAGGCCUUCGGGUUGUAAAGCUCCUUUGUCAGGGAAGAAACACCGGCUCUAACACAGUCCGGGAAUGACGGUACCUGAAGAAUAAGCACCGGCUAACUACGUGCCAGCAGCCGCGGUAA